Rhopilema esculentum is the source of this 818-nucleotide non-coding RNA. The record is from RefSeq and is a predicted model, not a curated record. Lineage: Eukaryota; Metazoa; Cnidaria; Scyphozoa; Rhizostomeae; Rhizostomatidae.
UAAUCCAGUGCAAUGCGUGUUUUUCUAUUUGCUGAAAGAACAGCUAAAGGCAGUAAAAAGAAAAAGAGCUUCAAUGGCUGUUAUCAUUAACAAUGACUUUAUUGUAAACGGUGAAACUGUGUCAAAGGGAAUUGACUUUGAGAUGCAAGACAUGCAGUUCAGCAAGGAGCUGAAUCUAUUUGACAAAAGAAAGAUCAUUCGUAACAAAUGGUAUUUAUGUUAUACUUUGGUCAACAACCCAUCAUUGGUCAAGUAUAGGAAAAGUAAUCUUGAUGAGAAAGAAGAAAAUUUAUCGGAAACGGAACAAGCGGACAGUAUUGAAGAAGAACAAAAUGAAGAUGUAGCAGAAGAGAAAUGAAACUUAUGAUGUAUAACAUCUAGAAGAUAUUCUGCUAGCAAGCUUGUCGUCUAAUUUAUAAUUUUUGGCUUUUGCGAAAGACGUUGAAAAGAGUAAAACUCUCAUUUCCAGAUUUUCACUUAUAUUUUUAUUAUAUGGAGCGCAUAUAUUGCUGUUAAUAAUAUUUAAAUCUCUACUGACUAGCUGAAGUUGAUACUUGUUCCCAUAUGUCCGUCAAUAGAAAAAAAUAAAUUGCUAUUAAUCAGUCAAUAUCUCUGUAUUCCAGUGCAUGAUAAGAUGUAAUUUCCUUCUUUAAGAAUUGAUGACACUUAAUGUCAAGUUCUGGACAAUAUUCUAAGAUAAAAAGCACCUAACUUGGUUAGUUUUAAAUACUAUGAAUACAAUUUUUCUGUAAUUGACUAGUAAAAUGUACUUUAUUUCCUUUUAUUUUACAAAUACCUUUGUAUCAUAAUAUAUUUGA